CUGAGGCGGAGAAAACUGGAGAAUUUGCUGAUAAAGGUGAAGAGGAAAGGUGACGGUAAUACCGGUUGAGGUCAUGAAUCAGGAAUGAAUGUUACAAUAGAUUCUGAAAUAGAAAAUAAAAGAUUUAUGCCAUAAUCUCUCACUCCAGGCAAAGCGCUCUAGGCAUCUCUGGUGCCACUUCAUCUCUCGGAGUAGUUCAAUAAACCAUGGCACUCUGCAAGAUCCACGUGCACAGAGUCCACACAGACAAAAUUGGUUCAGCAUCCCAUUGCCUUUUCAUUCCAAGGAAUAAUGAGAGCAUCAACCAAAUUUGUGUCAGAGCUUUGUGAAAAACCUCAAGUUUCCUCAGAAACCACAAUAACUUCAUCAGGUUAUUGAGUUUUCUCAGUAAAGAAGUGAGUUGUGUUACAUCCAGUAGCUGCAAAGCUAGACAAAAAAGAAAGCUAAAGAAGGAAAUAAUUACUCUGCUGAAAGAUGUUGGAAGUAAAUCUUUUUCAAGACUCGCAGAGGGUCAGGGAUGCCCCUUGCUUGAACCAGUUGAUGUGACCCUGGCCAGUCAUGGGAAGAGGCUGUUACAUAAAGCUAUUGGCAGUCAGGACAACAUGUGGCAGCAAUUCAUGAUCCUGAGGCAUUCAGAUUAUACACACAGAUAGUAUUCUUGUUUCUCAUGAGUUGAGAUUGUAAACUGAAAAACAAUCCAUUCUAGCCUAACUCUUCUAAAAGUUUUACCUAUGUUGUCUUUCAUUCCAUCCCAGAUAUAAUACCGUCUUCUGAAUUCUGGGACAGUUCUUACAUUAAGUUUAUAUUUAAGUAUCAUUCCACCACCUAUUCUUAAACACACACACAUACAUAAUUAAAUAGAUUAUUGAUAUUGAGCUUUUGAUGCUGUCUCCUAACCAAGGAUUUAUGGAAUAACUAUUUCAAUUUGCCUAUUUCUUGUUUCUGUUUCUUUAAUGAGCUUUUGAUUUUUUGUAUCUAAUAUUUAAAAAUAGGGUUAGUUUAUUGUUGAUUAUAGUUUAGUUUUUACUUUUUAGUUAUUACUUUGUUCUGGCACCUGAAGAGGGAUAGGAAUAAAAUAAACAAUAAACUAUAAACCAUGGAUAAAAUAAGCAAUCAAAAACAGAGGACUGGUUUUUAUUGGGAUCAUGAGUAAGUGGGUUAGUUUCUCACCAUUUGCAAUUCCAAUACUGCUCAAAUCCAAUGUUACAGGUACUUCAUCAUCAUCAUUUCAUCAUCAAUGUAAACUCAGUAACUAAAAACAAUAUUUACAAACUAAGUAAAUCAAUGUUAAAGAUGAUAGCUUUAUCAUGGAAAUACAAACUUCAACUAAACAGUUCAUUUAUUAAAAUACAGAAAACAUUAAGUGUUAUUAAAACAGGAUAUAGUCAAGUGUAUACUGUAAAAGUGGAUAGCACAUUUUGUUGUUUUAUACUGUUAAUAGUUUAUUAAGUGGUAUUCAUCCUUGUAAAUGGCAAAUUGUUGAAAAAUUCACAGAACUAAUUUAUAUAUUCAAUAAAUAGAAAGGGAUCUUUACAAAAGUCUACAGUUACUGUACCACAGAAAAGUCUACUUCAUUUUCAGUUUAACAUGAAAACCAAGAAUGUCAAUCACAAAAAAUUAUUCAUAUAUUGCACUCAAUCAAAAUAUGAAUACCUCAUUAAUAUUCUGCUAAAAUAUUUUAAUACAUUGUGCUUUUCCAAAGUUAUGAGAAACAUUUUAUUACUAUCAAUCUACUGUGCAUAUGAAUUUCAUAUUUUCUGGGUUUUCACUCUUUCAAUUUUGAUUAUGCAUAAAUGUAAAUAACUAUGCAUAUGCACAAUACAUUUAUAUAUGAAUCAUUACCAUGUAGAAUAGAUAGCUGCACAUAUGCUUGUUCAAAAACAUUUGAGCAACUUAACUUCAUACAUUUUUUAUUCCAUCAUCUUGGGGAAAUUCUAAAUUAUUUGAAUGUAUAAAAAAAGUUGUUUUUACUCAAACAAAAAUGUUUUCUAGAGUCCUAAAACUUUAGUACUAUAAAUAUUUUACUUCCAUCUUUUGGAAUUUUAAAUAAUGAACUAUAAAUUCAAAUAGCUUUCAUUUACAAUGGCUGUAUAAUCCUGCACAGAAACUAAUUAUUCAAAAUCAAUAUUUAAUACAAUGCUAGUAAACCAUAAAAUAUGUAGAAAAUUGUGUAAGGAUGAAUUAAUACUGUUAUAAUAAACAUCCCAGAGAUUUCAUAAAAUUAGUUAGGUUUUGUCCAUUUUAAAUUUCAGAUAUUUCAGAAAAUGGAGUUUCCAAAAAUGUCAAAUACAAACAAUUGGGAAAAAAAAGCUACUACUUAUUAAAAAAUUGGGUCUCUGGAAAUUUGAAGUCUCUCUUUGAAUACAAAUAGAAUUUCUAACUACAUGGUACAGUUAAUAUAAAAACAGUCUAUCAAGCUGCUUCUUGCUUAAAAACAGAAGUAUAAAAUAUUUUGUUAGAAAGUGUUUUGGUUGAAAAGCAACACUGCAAAAAGCAGUGGGUGGAAGGAAUAAAAAUAACCAGUGUUACUCUUGCAGAAGGAUUCAAAGAUUCAUGAACAUGUAGAAAGCACUAGAAUGUGAUGCCAAUGUUCAUAUACACUUUUUAAUCCCCCAGAAGUUGUUAUAAACUAAUUAAUUAGCUGAAACCAGAGGGGAAGGAGGGUUCAAAUUUGGUGAAAUUAUCAAUAUGGCUAUGCAAAAAUAAAAAUGCCAGGUUGUAUUUUAAGAAGUUAAAACAAAGUCUUUUCCUUCCAAAAUAUUGUAUCAUCUGUUAAUCGUCAUGACCUAUUUCUCAUAUAGUGUAAAGCUUAUGAUUUAAAUAAGCGGUGAAAUCCACUUACCUUUGCUACUGGUUUGGGAACGGGCAGGAGCACGCGCAUACCUCUUCUGCGUAUGUGCAGAACCUUCUGCGCAUGUGUAGAUGGUAAAAAAGGAGGAGUAAUGACAUCCCAGCAGGUGGGUGGAGCCUCCCACCACUGGCACUACCAGUUUGGCAAGCCGGAUAGAACCAGGGGGAUUUCACCACUGAUUUAAAUGUGAUGCAAUUUUAAAACCAGUUUGAUGAAAGUAAGGAGUAAAAUCAAAAAUAAUUCACACUACUUUUCCAUUUAAAAAUGCUAAAAUAUUUUAGAUUAAUAUCUCUGUUCAAUUUCAGAAGAAAAUAUUGUACUAUUGUUUCUUGUGUUGGUUUACAGACUCUUAACGCCAAAAAUUUUGUUUCCUCCAGACCUUCGUUGACUCUUGCUCAUUAUUGUUUUAUUACUGGUGUUGCUGCUACUUUUUGAUGAAAUAGAGUGACUUGUAGUAGAAGUAGCUCUAGAGUAAAAACCUUCAUCAACUUCAGAUACUUCUAUUAAUUCUUCUUCUGGAAUUCCUAAUUCGUUACCUGCAUGGAGACAGAACACUGUAUAUAUUUCAUUGGUUCUUGAUAGAUCUUUCUAUUCAAGCACAAAGCAAAAGAUUUAAGAGCAGACAAGAAGCUCAUCUAUUAUAUCAAUAUAAUAUAAUAUAUUACAAUAAAAUAAAUAAACAGAAAGCAUGCUUA
This is an RNA transcript of Pantherophis guttatus, 3546 nucleotides long. RefSeq lists it as uncharacterized. The record is from RefSeq and is a predicted model, not a curated record. Lineage: Eukaryota; Metazoa; Chordata; Lepidosauria; Squamata; Colubridae.